This 70-nucleotide transfer RNA is filed under the name Agapornis roseicollis (peach-faced lovebird). Its description in RNAcentral is "tRNA-Val". Lineage: Eukaryota; Metazoa; Chordata; Aves; Psittaciformes; Psittacidae. The record is from RNAcentral.
CAAGGCGUAGCUACAACCUAAAGCAUUCAGCUUACACCUGAAAGAUGUCUGAACUACCAGACCGCCUUGA